RNAcentral lists this ribosomal RNA (876 nucleotides) under Trichothecium sp. RNAcentral describes it as "partial large subunit ribosomal RNA". It matches the Rfam family "Eukaryotic large subunit ribosomal RNA", at positions 45 to 952 of the family's 3401-position model. The record is from RNAcentral. Lineage: Eukaryota; Fungi; Ascomycota; Sordariomycetes; Hypocreales.
AAUAAGCGGAGGAAAAGAAACCAACAGGGAUUGCCCUAGUAACGGCGAGUGAAGCGGCAACAGCUCAAAUUUGAAAGCUGGCUCUCGGGCCCGCAUUGUAAUUUGCAGAGGAUGCUUCUGGCGACGCGCCUUCCGAGUUCCCUGGAACGGGACGCCAUAGAGGGUGAGAGCCCCGUCCGGUCGUGCGCCUAGCCUCUGUGAAGCUCCUUCGACGAGUCGAGUAGUUUGGGAAUGCUGCUCAAAAUGGGAGGUAUACGUCUUCUAAAGCUAAAUACCGGCCAGAGACCGAUAGCGCACAAGUAGAGUGAUCGAAAGAUGAAAAGCACUUUGAAAAGAGAGUUAAAAAGUACGUGAAAUUGUUGAAAGGGAAGCGCUCAUGACCAGACUUGGGCUGGCUCGAUCCUCCGGCGUUCUCGCCGGUGCACUCGGGCCGCUCAGGCCAGCAUCAGCUUCCGCCGGGGGAUAAAGGCUUCGGGAAUGUGGCUCCCUCGGGAGUGUUAUAGCCCGUUGUGCAAUACCCUGGUGGGGGCUGAGGUUCGCGCGUAUGCACGGAUGCUGGCGUAAUGGUUAUCAGCGACCCGUCUUGAAACACGGACCAAGGAGUCGUCUUCGUAUGCGAGUGUUCGGGUGUCAAACCCCUACGCGGAAUGAAAGUGAACGCUGGUGAGAGCUUCGGCGCAUCACCGACCGAUCCUGAUGUUCUCGGAUGGAUUUGAGUAAGAGCAUACGGGGCCGGACCCGAAAGAAGGUGAACUAUGCCUGUAUAGGGUGAAGCCAGAGGAAACUCUGGUGGAGGCUCGCAGCGGUUCUGACGUGCAAAUCGAUCGUCAAAUAUGGGCAUGGGGGGCGAAAGACUAAUCGAACCUUCUAGUAGCU